GAUGAAGAACGUAGCUAAAUGCGAUAAGUAAUGUGAAUUGCAGAAUUCAGUGAAUCAUCGAAUCUUUGAACGCACAUUGCGCCCGCCAGUAUUCUGGCGGGCAUGCCUGUUCGAGCGUCAUUUCAACCCUCAAGCCCAGCUUGGUGUUGGGGAUCGGCACAGGCGCCCUCGGGCGCCCGCCGUCCCCUAAAUCUAGUGGCGGUCCCGCUGCAGCCUCCUCUGCGUAGUAGUUUUCUCCUCGCAAGGGCAGCUCGGUGGCGACCUCGCCGUAAAACCCCCAACUUCUGAAAGGUUGACCUCGAAUCAGGUAGGAAUACCCGCUGAACUUAAGCAUAUCAAUAAGCGGAGGA
Molecule: unclassified non-coding RNA, 350 nt
Filed under: soil metagenome
Description: partial contains 5.8S ribosomal RNA, internal transcribed spacer 2, and large subunit ribosomal RNA
Rfam family: 5.8S ribosomal RNA (bases 1-120)
Source: RNAcentral